This 468-nucleotide ribosomal RNA is filed under the name uncultured bacterium. Its description in RNAcentral is "partial 16S ribosomal RNA". It matches the Rfam family "Bacterial small subunit ribosomal RNA", at positions 28 to 507 of the family's 1533-position model. The record is from RNAcentral.
GACGAACGCUGGCGGCGUGCUUAACACAUGCAAGUCGAACGGAAAGGCCCUGCUUUUGUGGGGUGCUCGAGUGGCGAACGGGUGAGUAACACGUGAGUAACCUGCCCUUGACUUUGGGAUAACUUCAGGAAACUGGGGCUAAUACCGGAUAGGAUCUCCUGCUGCAUGGUGGGGGUUGGAAAGUUUCGGCGGUUGGGGAUGGACUCGCGGCUUAUCAGCUUGUUGGUGGGGUAGUGGCUUACCAAGGCUUUGACGGGUAGCCGGCCUGAGAGGGUGACCGGCCACAUUGGGACUGAGAUACGGCCCAGACUCCUACGGGAGGCAGAAGUGGGGAAUAUUGCACAAUGGGCGGAAGCCUGAUGCAGCAACGCCGCGUGCGGGAUGACGGCCUUCGGGUUGUAAACCGCUUUCGCCUGUGACGAAGCGUGAGUGACGGUAAUGGGUAAAGAAGCACCGGCUAACUACGUG